Molecule: long non-coding RNA, 1099 nt
Filed under: Gallus gallus (chicken)
Lineage: Eukaryota; Metazoa; Chordata; Aves; Galliformes; Phasianidae
Description: long non-coding RNA NONGGAT005259
Source: RNAcentral
CCUAUUUACACAUAUUGCACACCGUCCUCUGGCCUCCUGCAUUCCUGCCUGUUAGUGGAAACGUUUCCGUUUCUCCUCUGGAUCUGACCCGAAGUCCCGGGACCCGAUGCCAUUCUGGAGAUUUAUUAGUGAAUCCUUCAUCUGCAAGACAAGAAACGUCUCCAAUGUGCUGCUACCCUGGAGGUGGCAGCACUUUGGGAUUUCCUUUCUCAUCGGUGCCUCCUCCAUCCAUCUAAGUGUUAAUACCAUUAACAUCCACUUUUUGGGACUGGUGCAGCAGGGCUGGGUGGCAAAUGGAGGACUGGGAAGAUAGGAGCCAGUGAGUUAACAAGGGUCAAGCAGAAUGAUGCACAGGGUAACGUAACAGGCACUCACCUUAGGGAACAGCAGCUUCUUUCAUUUAUGAACACCAUUCCAAGCUGCCCGGUGUCUUAGGAGCUUUUGAGGGAAUGGGUUCUAAAACUGCUGCUUCUGUGCUGUGAAUGGCCUAUGCCUUUGUCCCUGUAAGCUACAGACAACCCCAGACUCAAGGAGAAAAAUUCUGCAUUGCAAACAGAGUGCCAAGGCCUUUACAGCACCCUCAAAUGCCAAAGACUAGAUACAAGCUUUGUUGUCUAAUAUAAGGCUUUGGCCCUGCAGGAUUCUCUCCUUUACUUGUCUGGACUCCUGUGAGAUGAUAGAGAACCCACGUGAAUAGCCCUUGGGACCUUCUGCCCAGCCCAGCAUCAGAAGACAGACUUAAAGAGAGAUGGGAACGGAGGUGAUGCACCUGGUGGGCUGCAGUGGUCCAGGUAAGGCUGAGGGAUUGCAGGUGAUGGGCUGGGAGGACACAGUGACUGUCUACUCACAGUGGUACUGGGAUGUGUGGUCUCACCUGGUCUAGAAGCAUCACGGAGGAUUUGAUGAUCUCACGCCAUUUUUGUAACUCUGAGUCAUGAUACUUCUGCUGAGAUUCUAGUAACUGGGCCCAUUCUGUCUGCGACUGGGGUAACCUGCCAAGCAGAGUAGGAGCAGGAGUGAAUGUGGGGAAAGCUUAGUCAAGGAUGAGCAAAGUGGACCAGCAGGUGAGGGGGUGGUAGAUAGCAUCAGUCUCUGUUUG